GCUUGAAUAGCUCAGUUGGGAGAGCAAUCGGCUGUUAACCGAUCGGUCGUAGGUUCGAGUCCUACUUCAAGCGCCA
Molecule: transfer RNA, 76 nt
Filed under: Coprobacillus sp. AM26-5AC
Lineage: Bacteria; Bacillati; Bacillota; Erysipelotrichia; Erysipelotrichales; Coprobacillaceae
Description: tRNA-Asn
Rfam family: tRNA
About the family: Transfer RNA (tRNA) molecules are approximately 80 nucleotides in length. Their secondary structure includes four short double-helical elements and three loops (D, anti-codon, and T loops).
Source: RNAcentral